This is a long non-coding RNA of Haliotis rubra (blacklip abalone), 178 nucleotides long. RefSeq lists it as uncharacterized. The record is from RefSeq and is a predicted model, not a curated record. NCBI's taxonomy places the organism in Eukaryota, Metazoa, Mollusca, Gastropoda, Lepetellida, Haliotidae. The transcript is spliced from 3 exons.
UAUCAUCGCUCCGACCGGAUCAGGGAAAACUAUGGUUGCCAUCCACAUCGCUAAAGGCAUCCUUGAGAAAGAAAGAAGGAAAGUUAUAUUUCUUGAGCCAACAGUAGCGCUUGUUAAUCAGACUUAUCAUGAGGUCAGACGUUACCUCGGUGACGAAUACAAGGUGAUGAAACUGAGG